This 484-nucleotide ribosomal RNA is filed under the name uncultured bacterium. RNAcentral's name for it is "partial 16S ribosomal RNA". It matches the Rfam family "Bacterial small subunit ribosomal RNA", at positions 30 to 507 of the family's 1533-position model. The record is from RNAcentral.
AUUGAACGCUGGCGGCAGGCCUAACACAUGCAAGUCGAGCGGAUGAAGGGAGCUUGCUCCUGGAUUCAGCGGCGGACGGGUGAGUAAUGCCUAGGAAUUUGCCUGGUAGUGGGGGAUAACGUCCGGAAACGGGCGCUAAUACCGCAUACGUCCUGAGGGAGAAAGUGGGGGAUCUUCGGACCUCACGCUAUCAGAUGAGCCUAGGUCGGAUUAGCUAGUUGGUGGGGUAAAGGCCUACCAAGGCGACGAUCCGUAACUGGUCUGAGAGGAUGAUCAGUCACACUGGAACUGAGACACGGUCCAGACUCCUACGGGAGGCAGCAGUGGGGAAUAUUGGACAAUGGGCGAAAGCCUGAUCCAGCCAUGCCGCGUGUGUGAAGAAGGUCUUCGGAUUGUAAAGCACUUUAAGUUGGGAGGAAGGGCAGUAAAUUAAUACCUUGCUGUUUUGACGUUACCAACAGAAUAAGCACCGGCUAACUUCGUG